GAACGGCUGGCGGCGUGCCGUAAUACAUGCGAAGUCGAGCGCGGGAGGCGGACUCGUCACCCUUCGGGGUGUCUAGUCCGUGGAACGAGCGGCGGAUGGGUGAGUAUCACGUGGGCAACCUGCCUGUAAGAUUGGGAUAACUCGCGGAAACGUGAGCUAAUACCGAAUGAAGUCUUUCACCGCCUGGUGAAAGGAUGAAAGAUGGCUUUUAGCUAUCGACUUACAGGAUGGGCCCGCGGCGCAUUAGCUAGUUGGUGGGGUAAAGGCCUACCAAGGCGACGAUGCGUAGCCGACCUGAGAGGGUGAUCGGCCACACUGGGACUGAGACACGGCCCAGACUCCUACGGGAGGCAGCAGUAGGGAAUCUUCCGCAAUGGACGAAAGUCUGACGGAGCAACGCCGCGUGAGUUGAUGAAGGUCUUCGGAUCGUAAAACUCUGUUGUCAGGGAAGAACAAGUUGUGUUCUAACAGGACAUGACCUUGACGGUACCUGACCAGAAAGCCCCGGCUAACUACGUGCCAGCCGCUGC
RNAcentral lists this ribosomal RNA (530 nucleotides) under uncultured bacterium. RNAcentral describes it as "bacterial SSU rRNA". It matches the Rfam family "Bacterial small subunit ribosomal RNA", at positions 35 to 518 of the family's 1533-position model. The record is from RNAcentral.